AUUGAACGCUGGCGGCAGGCCUAACACAUGCAAGUCGAACGAGUGGCGGACGGGUGAGUAAUGUCUGGGAAACUGCCUGAUGGAGGGGGAUAAAUACUGGAAACGGUAGCUAAUACCGCAUACCAUCAGAUGUGCCCAGAUGGGAAUAGCUAGUAGGCGGGGUAACGGCUCACCUAGGCGACGAUCCCUAGCUGGUCUGAGAGGAUGACCAGCCACACUGGAACUGUGACACGGUCCAGACUCCUACGGGAGGCAGCGUGGGGGAAUAUUGCACAAUGGUCGAAAGCCUGAUGCAGCCAUGCCGCGUGUAUGAAGAAGGCCUUCGGGUUGUAAAGGACUUUCAGCGGGGAGGCGUUACCCGCAGAAGAAGCACCGGCUAACUCCGUGCCAGCAGCCGCGGUAAUUC
RNAcentral lists this ribosomal RNA (406 nucleotides) under uncultured bacterium. RNAcentral describes it as "partial 16S ribosomal RNA". It matches the Rfam family "Bacterial small subunit ribosomal RNA", at positions 30 to 526 of the family's 1533-position model. The record is from RNAcentral.